Molecule: ribosomal RNA, 284 nt
Filed under: Faecalibacterium prausnitzii
Lineage: Bacteria; Bacillati; Bacillota; Clostridia; Eubacteriales; Oscillospiraceae
Description: partial 16S ribosomal RNA
Rfam family: Bacterial small subunit ribosomal RNA
Source: RNAcentral
UAUUUUCCUUUUUUUCCCGCAGCCGCGGUAAAACGUAGGUCACAAGCGUUGUCCGGAAUUACUGGGUGUAAAGGGAGCGCAGGCGGGAAGACAAGUUGGAAGUGAAAUCCAUGGGCUCAACCCAUGAACUGCUUUCAAAACUGUUUUUCUUGAGUAGUGCAGAGGUAGGCGGAAUUCCCGGUGUAGCGGUGGAAUGCGUAGAUAUCGGGAGGAACACCAGUGGCGAAGGCGGCCUACUGGGCACCAACUGACGCUGAGGCUCGAAAGUGUGGGUAGCAAACAGG